This 456-nucleotide ribosomal RNA is filed under the name uncultured bacterium. RNAcentral's name for it is "bacterial SSU rRNA". It matches the Rfam family "Bacterial small subunit ribosomal RNA", at positions 340 to 786 of the family's 1533-position model. The record is from RNAcentral.
UACGGAAGGCAGCAGUGGGGAAUAUUGCACAAUGGGCGAAAGCCUGAUGCAGCUAUGCCGCGUGUAUGAAGAAGGCCUUAGGGUUGUAAAGUACUUUCAGCAGGGAGGAAAGAAUAAAACUAAUAAUUUUAUUUUGUGACGUUACCCGAAGAAGAAGCACCGGCUAACUCCGUGCCAGCAGCCGCGGUAAUACGGAGGGUGCAAGCGUUAAUCAGAAUUACUGGGCGUAAAGAGCGCGUAGGUGGUUUUUUUAAGUCAAAUGUGAAAUCCCUAGGCUUAACCUAGGAACUGCAUUUUGAAACUGAAAAACUAGAGUAUCGUAGAGGGAGGUAGAAUUCUAGGUGUAGCGGUGAAAUGCGUAGAUAUCUGGAGGAAUACCUGUGGCGAAAGCGGCCUCCUAAACGAAUACUGACACUGAGGUGCGAAAGCGUGGGGAGCAAACAGGGAUUAGAUACC